CCAGCUCCUCCCUGUGCAAGCUCCAUGUAUCUAACGACCUGCAAGGCAUGUAACAAAGGAUCAACAACUAGUUGAGCGAGUUCACAGAAAGUAAAUGCGUAAUCAUAAGUUCGUUUGUAACAGGUGGCUCUACUGGGCCGAUAAUACGUUUUAUUGGUGGGGGCUUCCAAUGUUGUAUAACCACUAGACUAUUCGUAACCAUAAGUGUUCUACAUAUCCCGAGAACAGUAACACGUACAAGUUUACGUAGGUUUUACGUAAGUAAUCCUUCACAACCGAGGAUAGGGGUACGCGGGGGUUUACGUAGGUUUUACGUAAGUGCCUGACACAACCGAGGCAGUAGUGAGUAUAAGUUCACGUAGGUUUUACGUGAGUAUCCUUCACAACCGAGGAUAGCGAGUAGCAUAAGUAUAUGUAGGUUUUACGUAUGUGUCCUGCACAACCGAGGACGAUGGGGUACGCGGGGGUUUACGUAGGUUUUACGUAAGUGCCUGACACAACCGAGGCAGUAGUGAGUAUAAGUUCACGUAGGUUUUACGUGAGUAUCCUUCACAACCGAGGAUAGCGAGUAGCAUAAGUAUAUGUAGGUUUUACGUAUGUGUCCUGCACAACCGAGGACGAU
This 622-nucleotide long non-coding RNA is filed under the name Helianthus annuus (common sunflower). Lineage: Eukaryota; Viridiplantae; Streptophyta; Magnoliopsida; Asterales; Asteraceae. The record is from RNAcentral.